This 27-nucleotide non-coding RNA is filed under the name Mus musculus (house mouse). The record is from RNAcentral. Lineage: Eukaryota; Metazoa; Chordata; Mammalia; Rodentia; Muridae.
UACACUUGUUUCACCCAUCAGUGUGAG